Molecule: RNA transcript, 994 nt
Organism: Priapulus caudatus
Lineage: Eukaryota; Metazoa; Priapulida; Priapulimorpha; Priapulimorphida; Priapulidae
Exons: 4
Source: RefSeq, a predicted model, not a curated record
UUACACCCACACUGUACCCGACGCUAACUUCUGCCGUAGUAACGAAGAUGGUGUCUCAUGAAUGAAAGCCUUGCGGUACGCACUGUCAACAACCUGAUAUCUCUGCGUAAAACGAUGGAUCGGACUGAAUGGAGUCGUGCGACGUUGCCACGGGCCGUGCUCUGCUGCUGUGCAAUUGUCGCCAUUCUCAGUAUCAAUGUGCCAGUAGCGUUGGCGCUACGCUGCGUGCAAUGUCAGCUAGGAAGACAUUGUGAAAAAGGAGACAUCCCAGCGACACUCUGUCAUGGCAACCAUGCGAGUGCCAAACAUUGCGUGACGUCAGUUGGAAACCUUGCAACCGAUCAAAACGACUCGCAGACAUGGGGUUUGAAGCCAGGACGGGCGACAACUUCCGAGACAAACUAAACAGGAUUCGACAGAUUGUAUGUCCGAUUGAUUGUAUACAUCUGUCAAACCAUGCUGAGCAGACAGGAAGGCUCGUGAUACGGGACUGCCUUAGCGUAAGCAUCGAGUACGUGUGCAGCAGCGAGACGAUCGAUUUCCCCGGCGAGCCGAACAUCACGCUACAGCUGUGCUUCACCACGUGCGACGGCGACGGCUGCAACAAUAAACCCGUUGACGAUAUCGGCAACGUCGCCGCCGCCACGGUUGCUCCCGGUCUGUGGCUGCUGUUUCUGGCAGCAGUAGCAGCGGCGGCAGCGGCGGCAGGUAAUUGAAAGUGAUGCUGUCGUUUAGGAAGCCAAAACACUAAUGCUCUUUUACGUGUGUCAAACCGGAGUGACAGUCUGCGUAUACGAUGACAACACACCAGCUAAAUCAGCACCGGAAAUCACGUUGGCGUGACACUAUACACGGAGAUAUGUAGAUAUAGUAUAAUCAGGAGUGAAUAAUAUUAGAACGCUAGCCUAUUAUUAUUCACACCUGGAGUAAUUACAUCCAGUGCCGUAGGCUGAGCAAAUUCCUAGAGGGGGUGUGUGCAAAAUUUCAUGACUCA